This 2520-nucleotide ribosomal RNA is filed under the name Triticum aestivum (bread wheat). RNAcentral's name for it is "partial small subunit ribosomal RNA". Lineage: Eukaryota; Viridiplantae; Streptophyta; Magnoliopsida; Poales; Poaceae. The record is from RNAcentral.
CCUAGUAGCCGCCUCACGCGCACUCGCUUGGCGCCGCCACGCUCCAGCCCUGCUCCCGCUGCCUCUCCCCAUCCGAAAGACAGUGAUUUUUUCACUUUGGAGUUCUUUCAUGGAGGAUUUUUCCAUGGCAGCGGAAGAAACAGGGCCUAUCUGAAUGGGAAAAAGACUUGUUAUGAUUUUUGCGACACUCAGUGUGUAUGCAUGAAGAUGCUUGAAGAUUUGAUAGAGCAUAUUGGGUAUGAGAUGGCUGGUAGGGUUUCCAUGUACUGGUUGCUACCUGGUUCUCAAUUGAAUGAAGAUGGUGCAAGGUUGUUAUCUAAGGAAGAGGAUGUUGUUGACAUUGCGAGAAUGGUAAAAAGUGGGCACCGGUAUUUGAUGAUUUUUAUGGAUCAUGAAGACAGCUACAGUGGUGGUGGAGGACAAGCAUGGAGUGAUGUGGUUGCUACUCCACCGGCAUAUUUACCUCUUGUUAUCAGUCCUAAGAAUAAAAGCAUUGGUAAUGUUAGUGGUGAAGAGGAAAGCAUAGUUGAUGGUAGUUAUGUUGACGACAACACUCUAUGUGAGGCCAAUGAAUUUGUGAGCAUUGAAGAAGUUGUUAGGUUGAGGCCAAGAGGAAAGCAAGGUAAUAUUGAUGAAGAAGAAUGUGGCAGUGAUAAUGAUAGUGAAGAUAGUGACUAUGUUCCCGAGAUUGUAGAUAGUGAUUAUGAUUUGGAGGAUGGUGACGAGGACUUGGUGCAGGAGCAACUACAUUCUGUUAGUGAUAUGAAAGGGAAGCAAGUGGUUGAAGAUUGUAACUCUGAAGAUGAGAAAUUAGAAGCUCCGGAAUCGGAUGAGGAUGAGAUGAAGUUCAAUUUCAAAUCUUUUACAGUCGAAGAUAUGCAUGAUUCAAAGUUCCAUGUGGGGCAACUAUUCUCAUCAGUUGAUUUGCUAAGAAGAGCAAUCAGAGAGUAUAGUGUGAAAGAGAGAGUGAGCAUCACAUUUCCCAAGAAUGAUAAAACUAGGAUUGGUGCUAAGUGUGAGGAUGGAUGUCCAUGGUAUCUUUAUGCCUCAUUGGACAAAAGGACAAAUUCAGUUAUGGUGAAAACCUUCAACGGUGUGCAUCAUUGUAGCAAGAAGUGGCAAGUGAGGGCAUUUACUGCCAAGUACAUUGCUAACAAGUAUGUGGAGAAAAUAAGAGCUAAUGAGAAGAUAACCUUGAAGGGAUUGGCAGCACUUGUGCAAGAAGACUGUAACAUGACAAUUAAAAGGGGGAAACUAGGGAGGGCCAGAGGACUAGCUUUUAAUAUUAUAUAUGGUGAUGAAAUAGCACAGUACAACAAGUUGUGGGACUAUGCAAAUGAGCUAAGGAGAUCCAAUCCAGGAAGUACAUUUUAUUUAGACCUUGAUGAAGAUGGUAAGUUUGAGAAAUGCUACUUUUCCUUUGAUGCUUGCAAGAGGGGCUUCCUAUCAGCUUGUAGGCCUAUUCUUUUCCUCGAUGGUUGUCAUUUGAAGACACAAUACGGAGGCAUCCUACUUAGUGCAGUAGGAAUGGAUCCCAACGAUUGCAUAAUUCCUAUUGCACAUGCGGUGGUUCAAAGAGAAGAUACAAAGGCUUGGAGGUGGUUCUUGACAGCUUUAAAGAAAGAUCUUGGUAUUGUGAGAAGUGCUCUUUGGACUAUCAUGUCCGACAAGCAAAAAGGUCUAAUAAAGGCAGUGGGAGAAUUGUUCAAUGGUUCCCCACAUAGAUUUUGUGUCAGACAUCUUUGGCAGAAUUUCAACAAAAAUUUUAAAGGUGAGGCCCUCAAAAACCAACUCUGGAAAUGUGCUAGAAGUAGUACUGAAGGGAAAUUUAGACAGAAUAUGAAUGAAAUGUUGGUUCUAAACAAAGAGGCACAUGAUUGGCUAGAGGAGUUGGACCCUCCAACAUGGGUUAGGGCAUUUCAAAAUGAAUUUCCUAAGUGUGAUGUCUUGUUGAACAAUAACUGUGAGGUGUUUAACAAGUACAUAUUGGAUGCAAGAGAAAUGCCCAUAAUCAGCAUGUGCCAAAGGAUUAAAGGACAGUUGAUGGGAAGAAAUCAUAGCAAGCUACAAGAGGCCUUGAAGUGGCCUGGUACUAUAUGUCCAAAAAUAAGGAAGAAAUUGGACAAAAAUGUGGAAUUUGCUAGAACUUGCUAUGCUUCACCAGCUGGAUUGGGAAUCUUUAAUGUGAACGAUAGAGGCGUAGACUACGGGGUUGAUUACCAGUUGAGGAAGUGCAGCUGUAGGAGAUGGGAUUUGUCUGGCAUUCCAUGCAGCCAUGGAGUAGCUGCUCUUAGAUAUGACAACAUCAAUCCAGAGGAUUACGUCAACUCAUGCUAUUCUAUCGCAACAUAUUGCAAGGCAUAUGAAAACAUUAUUAUGCCAUGCAAAGAUAUUAGUGAGUGGAGUAAAAUGAAUGGCAGAACUAUCACACCACCACCAUUGGUAAAGCAGAAAGGAAGAAGGAGGAAGAACAGGAGAAAACAACCAGAAGAGAAACAGGGGGAAAAAGGAGUAAAAAUU